AAAUCAUUAGUACAUGUCUUUAGUACACAUUUUUAGUACACGUCUUUAGUACGCCGCGUCUUUAGUACAAAUCAUUAGUACACAUCUUUAGUACACGUCUUUAGUACACGUCUUUAGUACACGUCUUUAGUACACAUCUUUAGUACACAUCUUUAGUACACGUCUUUAGUACACGUCUUUAGUACGCGUCUUUAGUACAAAUCAUUAGUACAUGUCUUUAGUACACGUCUUUAGUACACGUCUUUAGUACACAUCUUUAGUACGCGUCUUUAGUACACGUCUUUAGUACACAUCUUUAGUACGCGUCUUUAGUACACAUCUUUAGUACACAUCUUUAGUACGCGUCUUUAGUACACAUCUUUAGUACACAUCUUUAGUACACGUCUUUAGUACACAUUUUUAGUACGCGUCUUUAGUACACAUCUUUAGUACACAUCUUUAGUACACGUCUUUAGUACACAUUUUUAGUACACGUCUUUAGUACACAUCUUUAGUACACAUCUUUAGUACACGUCUUUAGUACACAUUUUUAGUACACGUCUUUAGUACACUUCGUGGACUUGGGAUUUGGGGCAUUAAGUAGCACAUUAAUAAAUGUACCGUUUGUUGCCAAAUCUGACAAACUGUUUUAGAGCAACUCAACUUUUAACUCAUCUUACAUUACAGGUCAAUUAGCUGACGCUUUUAUCCAAAGCGACUUACAUUACAUUUUGAGGUUAGGUGUGUUGCUCAGGGACAUGGGGGCAGCUGGGACUCGAACCACCAACCUUGCGGUUCCCAGCGCACCCUCCCUGCGCCUUAUUAAUGUGAAUCAUGAUUUUUUGUCCCUCAGAUGGACCUUUCUAUCUUGCACCAUUAUUAUGUUUCAGAUUUACCUUGAAUCAACAGUACUUUGAGAACGAGUAUCCAUUUAUAAUUAUAAUAUUAUAGCUCUUCAUUCUCUCUCUCUCAAAAGGCAGAUUUUGUUAAAGUGAAGGACACAUUUUUGGAAAUUAUUUUACUAGAGUUUAGGCGGGAUCACCAGAAUUUAGUUUUUGGAUCAUUGUGGAGCAUUUGCGUUUUCUUAUGUGCCAAAGUAUUUAUUUCACUUGUAUAUCACCAGUAGUGUUCACUACACCCCAAUACAUCAGUGUAGGGCUUUAAUAAAAGAAUUAAACCAGAUUUCCUCGUAAUUUACCAUGAAAAAUGACAAAAAAAUCGACACAAAAUGUCUCUUCAGUGCACAGGGCUGUUUCUCUGCGACGGAUUGGCUGCUUACCGUGAUUGACAGCUCAUGGGAAUCGUUAGAGCCUAUAGAAUUGGGCCAUUUCCAGUAUCCUAACGUUGACAGCACCAAUCAGGAUCACCAGAGCAGCUCCAUGGGGAACGAUAGGCGGACACGUCGCCUUUGGACCUUCCACCAAUGAACAGAAGCUUCUAGAAGCUUCUGAGCGGCUAACAGGAAGUUGGCGUCUCACAGGCAAGCAAACACUUUGCUCGGCUAAAUGCUACGGUAAGGGACAUUUUACUACCGUCUGUGGCCAAAAUGAAUCCCUGUUGUGGAUGUUCUUUGGUUCGACAAAGGUUUUACCGGAGAGGAGUGAGCCGUAACUUGACGUCAUAGCUGUUGAAUCUGAAGACUUUUUUUCUGUCGAGACGCUAUUUUACUUUAGCCAAGGUAAGCUAGCGCUGAGCUACGAAUGUUUUGACUACCGCUUGUCCAAGUUGUGUCACGUGAGUCAUGACGUUUGGUCAUUUGUGUAACAGUCGUGUGUUUUCAGUUGUGUUUGGAGCGCGUCCAUUUGCCUAAUACAGCACUCUGCUGCGUCACUUUAUUCUUUGGUGGUUGGUUUAUUGUUUGACGCUUUGAACGCCUCUCAGAAACCAACCCAGACUCUCUGGGCUCAGGAGCUCCUGCUCCCCUGGGGAUGAACCCCCCCUUUCUGUUGGCUGCUGCCUUUCUUUUAUACUUCAAUCAAUGUUCUUGCCUGUAUUUAAAUCUCUGCUUUAUGUUUGGAUCUUUUUAAUGGUUUGAUGGUUUUAGCACUUUGAAUCGCCUCGUUGUUGGAAUGUGCUGUUCAAAUAAAAUCGCCUUGCUUUUAGACCGUAAUGCCCAUUUCACAGGUGCCUUCCGCAGAUAGAUUAUUUUCAGGCCCACUUUAUGUAAAUGUUUUGACUAACCCUGACAUGAACACGUCAGAAACGCAGAGUAAAACCCAAUAAUGCAACAGUAACAGAACGUAACACACAUUUAAUUCCACAGAGAGAAACUGUGGAUCAAAGACGUUAAACAGCCGUGGCCGCUGAGCCCGACUACGCUAAUGAGGUGGAACAAGGUCGUUCUGGUCCUUUGACUUGUCAGGAAAACCCACACAGCGACUGAGGCCUCAUCAGGAGUCCGUGUGAGCCUCCAAUCCCCCCCCAGGUUCCCUCACCACGACAACCAAGGACCCCUCAAAAACCUGAGGACCACAAGCAGGUACUACUAUCGAUCCCAUCCCCCCCCCCCCCCCCCCCCACCGCCUUCAUUUACUGACCUCUAUAAAGCAUCUACAUCGAAUCUUAAUUGGAUAUUGAAGUUCGUUAAUUAAAACAUUAUCUCCGGCGAAACACAGCGGCUGGUCUGACGAGCUGAUCAAUGAGGAUGAGGGGAUGCUGUCUGCUCCGAGAACCGACGGGGGGGGGGAACGAAAUCACACACUCCAGGCUCGAGAGCGGCAAAUUAAAACGUUAAAGAGGAUUUCGGUCGAAUCUCCCGCCCUAUUUCGAUAUCUUGUGAGAUAUUUUGUUCAUCAAUGAAACUUUCAGGUCUCCUUUCAUGGCUGUGGAGAUAGCGUGUUGGUAUUUAGUCUGCUGGGGAUUAUCGGCCCCCAGGUUUCUGGUAGACUGAGUGAUGAAGAUGCAUUGUGGGCAAACCAAGGCCCUCAAACUUAACAAGACGUCUCGCUCAGUGACGUGAAGGUUUGAUGGACCGAGGCCUCUCGGAGUUAAUGCCUCGAUGCUUCUGCUGUCUCGUAAAAUAUAUUUCAUUUCAUUGUGUACUUCCAUGAUUAAGUCAAUAAAUGUGGCCACUGAUGAAUGCCGUUUUAUUUUAAAGUCACAUGACGUCUUGGAAGCGGUGACAUCAUUUCAGCCAUACUUUUCUCCGUUAUAAUUUGUUCAAAUAUUUCUGGUUUACUUUUUCAUAUUACGUCUUGCUUAUUGCAGAUUUCUCCAAUAUGCAGUAAUCUCUGUAAAGAUAUCAUGGUGCGACUCAAUCCUUUCUCCUCUCAGGACAUUUAUUUGCUGAACAAACUAUCAACACUGUGUUGCGACCUAAAAAAACGUAAAGAAACAUAAAACCACAAAAAUUCAGUUGAUUCUAAAAGUUUCUCCUUCUACAUAAGGCGGAGAUCUUCUCGAAGGACGUCUUCUCUCAGACACUGGUUGGAGUCGAUUAGUAGUGAGUUUCCCACAGUGCAUCAGGGCUGGAGAUGCCCUCCCCCCCCCAACACCUGUCAGGUCGCACGCCAACCAAUCGCCAUCUGAGCUGUGUUCUCUGACGCCAUCAAACAGCUGCACAGGUAGAUGCACAGAGAGACUCAUGCAAUCCGAUUGUUAUAGAGGAGGCGUGUGCGUCACACCGCAUCAUGCUAACGGCGCUCUGCAGCAGUGGAAGCUCCCGUGAUGAAUCCCAUCCUCUCUCUCUCUCUGCAACCAGCCCGUAAUGAAGGUGCAGGUUGUUUUGCCUCAUGGCCCUGAUGGGAAAACGUCCUAAAAGCCCUCGACUUUGAAGCGAUGUCCCCUGUGUCUCCAGGGGGACGCUCGGGUGCCGCUCUUCUCCUUUCAUUUCCCUGAUGUGUUCAGGAUUUCGGGGGAAAUUACCAGCCGUCCUACUGAGGGCGAUUUGUCUGCCGCGGCUCGGCGGCGGCGUGCGCUGGACGGGGGGGGGGCCUCUUUUUGAUGGGAUGUCAUGCUAUUCAUUAUGUAAUUGUUAGCGUGAUUAAGAGCCAGCGAUCUAUCAACGGCAGUGAAAUAAAGCUCACUUCCUGCGCACCAGCAAUGACGUGGCGCUUCAAACUUUCAAAGUUUUUAGCUAUUUUUAAUUUUAUGUUCACAGCAUAUUUCCCCUGAGCUUUGAAAGUAAAAAUAGCCAAAUAAACGUCUUUUGACGCGGAAUAUCGUUUUCACGUCUUCUUAAAAAAAGGACUUUAUGCACCUGUAAAACUGUUAGAAGUACGUUUAAUUGUGUUCUUCCUAAAAGCUUAAAAUAGAACAAUAAAGUUUGCCUUAUGCCUCCAGUAUGUGUGUGUGUGUGUGUGAGUGUGUGUGUGUGUGUAUAUAUAUAUAUAUAUAUAUAUAUAUAUAUAUACAUAUAUAUGUGUAUUGUAGACAGUGACUGUAGUUUGGUGAACAUAAACAUUCAUAAAGUACUUUUACGUACAACAAAUCCGCCCACACAAUCCUCACACUGCAAGUAAUGGAUCAGACCAAAGACCUUCUGGAGGUAGAAGAAGCUCUGCCAUCAUCUGGUCCAGUUAUUCGUGCUCUUCUGUCCCCUCUUGAUCUUUCCCAUUGAGCUUCAGCUGAAGGAACUCGAUGCUGCACAUGUAGUGAUGGGUUGGAGGUGGAGGGUGAAGGGGAGGUGUGGACGCCCCCCGCCCCUAUCUCCCACCUGUCUUCUCCUGCCUCCACCCGUCUCAUGCCGCCUCUUCUCCCCUUCGUUCGCUGUGCGUUUUUAAAGAACAUGAAAGUGCUUCAUCUCCCUUUCAUCUCCUUUGUUUCCUUGCCCUCCCUUGUGUCACCGCGUUUAUUCAAAACCUCUCUAAACAGCUGAGGGGGAUCUGCUGCAGGUCUUGCUGCAGUUGUUGAUCUACUGAAGACCCCUUCAGACCGGUAGUGGAAACAUCAAAGUCCGCAAAUAUAAUAAAAGCCCUCGAAGGAUUUGAACGGAGGCGCCGUAUUUUACAUUUAUGAACACAAUUCACCCUUCACAGAUAUGUGGGGCAGGCGGUCUGAACCCACAGGUGAUGGUGUAAACCAAUUAGGCAACUGUAGACGGGUGGAGGCGCCGCGUCCUUCUAAUGAUGUCUUGAUGCUAAUCGCAUGCAGAGAUCUUCUUUAAUUCAUUACGUUUAGUAGAGUGAUACAAUCCCUUCGCCUCCGGCGCCCGCGGUGGCUUUUCCUCGCUUCCAUCGACCAGCUGUGGUCCCGUCACGCAGCGGCCAGGGUUGGCCCGAGGCCGCCUCAUCACAUCUCAGAAGCCUCGUCCAUAAUUGAGCGCUCGCAAUCGCUCACGAGUCGGUUGCUGCGGUGCGGCCUUUGCGAGGAAGACUCUGCUGUCUCCAGCUUUUCUUCCUCCCGCGUCGUGUCCCCGGAAGAGACAACACGCAUCCAGCUGCGAUGACGUGAAGCGAGGCGCUGGGCAGAAGUCCGGGGUUCCACUCGGUGUCUUCAUGUGGCCUCCAGUGUGGAAACAUGAACCUCAGUCAGUGUUUUCCUCUCCCCUGUGUGUGUGUGCUGACAGACCCUCGUCUCCUUCCUCCUCCCCCGUGUGACUAAGCUUGGGCGGCAUCUUUAAAUAAAACUGGUUGCAUAAGAAUGAUUAGUGCCGAGCUUCCUGCCCUUACUAAGGUCAUAAAAUGAAUCCAUAAAGCACCAAAAAGGACCAAACCUGCUGUGAUAUUCAGCUGCUGGGUCUUAAAUGUCAGCAGCAAUAUUGAAGUGGUUGCAAACUUAAGAACAAAGGAGGGGAAGUCCGACCAAAACGAUGCGCCUGAAUCAUCUUUUGAGUAAUGCAUAAAAAUGGAUUUGUUUUUGCCGAUCAAUGCAGUGCGAGAAUCUGCCGGCCCGAGAAGGAUCAAUCUGCCGAGCCGCGUGCAGACCGAGG
Long non-coding RNA from Gasterosteus aculeatus aculeatus (three-spined stickleback), 5848 nucleotides. The record is from Ensembl. Lineage: Eukaryota; Metazoa; Chordata; Actinopteri; Perciformes; Gasterosteidae.